CCCAGACUCCUACGGGAGGCAGCAGUGAGGAAUAUUGGUCAAUGGGCGGAAGCCUGAACCAGCCAAGUCGCGUGAGGGAAUAAGGCCCUACGGGUCGUAAACCUCUUUUGCCGGGGAGCAAGGUGCAGGUCGGGACCUGCUGUGAGAGUACCUGAAGAAAAAGCAUCGGCUAACUCCGUGCCAGCAGCCGCGGUAAUACGGAGGAUGCGAGCGUUAUCCGGAUUUAUUGGGUUUAAAGGGUGCGUAGGCGGAAUGCCAAGUCAGCGGUAAAAUCGCGGGGCUCAACCUCGCUCCGCCGUUGAAACUGGCGUUCUUGAGUGGGCGAGAAGUAUGCGGAAUGCGUGGUGUAGCGGUGAAAUGCAUAGAUAUCACGCAGAACUCCGAUUGCGAAGGCAGCAUACCGGCGCCCAACUGACGCUGAAGCACGAAAGCGUGGGUAUCGAACAGGAUUAGAUACCCGGGUAC
RNAcentral lists this ribosomal RNA (465 nucleotides) under uncultured bacterium. RNAcentral's name for it is "bacterial SSU rRNA". It matches the Rfam family "Bacterial small subunit ribosomal RNA", at positions 330 to 793 of the family's 1533-position model. The record is from RNAcentral.